Long non-coding RNA from Amphiprion ocellaris (clown anemonefish), 1549 nucleotides. The record is from Ensembl. Lineage: Eukaryota; Metazoa; Chordata; Actinopteri; Pomacentridae.
ACUUUUCAUAGGUAAGAAUAGUUUUUGGCUCUUUUUCCAGUAUUAAAUCUUGUUGAGAGCUUCCAGUCUAUGAGAGCUAACUAGUUAGCCACUAGCAAAACGCUAAGGCGAGCUAGCAUCUUGACAACCAAAUACCAGACGAUUAAUAGUAGCUGUAGUAUAGUUGUACAAGCAGUAGUAGUAAUACUAAAAGUACAAGCAGCAGUAGUAGUAUAAACAGCUGUUAGAGUCGUAGAAGUAGUAUCAGCAUUUGUAAUAGUAUUACAAGUUGUAGUAGCAGUGCCAGCAGCAGCAGUAGUAGUUACUGUACUAGCACUACGAGUAGUAGUCACAUUGCUAUUACUACCACCAAUACUACCAAUAGUAGUUAUAAAGCCUAACUCAUAUAUAUCCAGAUUACCAUCUAUGUUCUUCCUCCAAACCCAUUUUAUGAAUGGGAUUACAGGCAGUUCUUUAGGACUGCUCUCAAAUAAUUGAAAUGUUACUAAACAAGGUUAUACUUAUCAAAUUAAAUAGCUCUGGUCUCCAGUAUAUUGGCGAAUUCGGUUCUUUGUACUUAAUUUAUUAGCAUGAUUUAUUUUUUAAUAUGUUGUGUACAGACUUAAUUACUUCUCUGUCUACUUUUCUUACUCCAUGUAGGUUUCCCAGACACUAUGGGUUGAGGAGGAAUUGGAAGUUUGUCGGCUUAGACCUGGUGUCAUUCCAUCAGUGUUAAACUUCCCGGCUCAUCCUGGAAGAGUACGUGCCAGAAAGACCACGACCAAGCAGCCUUGAGAUCUUAGGCAGCGUCUCCCUGAGCUUCAGCUCCAGAGACGGCAGGCGGGACGAGUCAACGGAGGCCGGGUGGACGAAGGCAUGCAGCUGAGUACAAUCCAGAAAACAACAGAGGAAGAGUGCAGCUGCCCAGGACCAGAACAGAGUAGCAUGGUAUGUCUCUGAGAAAACAUCAUAGUUUAGCCUUUGGUAUGAAAAAACGCCAUCAUAUACAUUGUAUAUUGUACAAAUAACAAGUCAAAGGAAAGAGACAUACAUUGUAGAAUUGUAGUAAUUGUGGGCUGACUGAUUUACUGAUUAUCAAUAUUUUAUUUUUUACUGAUUUACGGUAAUAAAUACAUUUAAAAAUGGUGCUACUUUGGCUCUGAAACUUUAUCUACCUGUGGUCGCUCUGUCUUCUGGAGUGAUUUGAUUGGUUAUAUGUCACGAAUAAAACUCCUUUAACUUAACAUCUGUAAACCAAACAAAAACGUAUCAACAAAGUUUUCUGUUAGUUUGUGUUCUUCUAAGUUUAACUCAAGAUUUUAAAUACUUUCAUUUACUGCAAAUGAAUAUCGACUCCAAAUGUCUCAGAAAUAAUCAUUAUCAGCCUUAAAAACCCACAAAACACCCCUUUAUACUCGACCACACUUAGUACAGUCCGGUUCCCCCUUCUAUAAAUCUGCUUGGAAUCUUCCACUUCCUGUUUGUCAAAGUGGCCUUCUACCUGGACAGGUUUUGUUGGAGCUCAUGCAACAAACAUUUUGGGUAACUGCACUUCAAUAUGGAUGGAUGA